UUUGAGUGAGCUGAAAUAUUUCUAGCUUUAAGAUCAUUCACUCUAUAUAUAUUCUGAUGGAAGUCUUUAAGAAUGUAGGAGAGAAAAACAUAUAGAUGAUCAUUGAGGUAUAUAUAUUUAUAGAACUCAAUUUCUUAAUCAUAGUUUUUCAGCAAUGUAUACAUGAAACACAAUAAAUCUUUUUAAUAUCAUAAUAAAAUCAUAUAUUUAGAA
This 213-nucleotide long non-coding RNA is filed under the name Phoenix dactylifera (date palm). Its description in RNAcentral is "long non-coding RNA (PDAC_LNC008373)". The record is from RNAcentral. Lineage: Eukaryota; Viridiplantae; Streptophyta; Magnoliopsida; Arecales; Arecaceae.